RNAcentral lists this unclassified non-coding RNA (341 nucleotides) under Hevea brasiliensis (rubber tree). The record is from RNAcentral. Lineage: Eukaryota; Viridiplantae; Streptophyta; Magnoliopsida; Malpighiales; Euphorbiaceae.
GGGAAGCAUUAGAAAAAGAAAAUAAACAAAGACUUGAUAACAAGUAGAAUCUUACCCAAUCAUGGCAUGAAACCACAAAAUGAUCAGCACCUUUGCUUCGGUUCCAAUAUGGAUACCUGUCGGCAACAACUUGAAUGUAAUCAUUUGUGACACGGCGCAUCCGAUCACGGCUGUAGUCAGUGGGAGAAGUGAUUGGCCUGUAAACGAAAUGAAUGAUGUUGGUGAUGCUCAAAGGAAGAAGAAAUACAUGGGCUUGAUCAGGAUGGCUGGCUCUGAAGGGGCUCUUGCUGCAAUCUAUCUCAUCUAUAAAUUGGCCUUCAAUGGCGUAUAUGCUAUUCAAU